This 411-nucleotide ribosomal RNA is filed under the name Verrucomicrobiota bacterium. Its description in RNAcentral is "Verrucomicrobia bacterium partial 16S ribosomal RNA". It matches the Rfam family "Bacterial small subunit ribosomal RNA", at positions 355 to 776 of the family's 1533-position model. The record is from RNAcentral. Lineage: Bacteria; Pseudomonadati; Verrucomicrobiota.
UGGGGAAUCUUGCGCAAUGGGGGAAACCCUGACGCAGCGACGCCGCGUGCGGGAUGAAGGCCUUCGGGUUGUAAACCGCUUUCAGCAGGGACGAGGCCUUAUGGUGACGGUACCUGCAGAAGAAGCUCCGGCUAAAUACGUGCCAGCCGCCGCGGUAAUACGCAUGGAGCAAGCGUUAUCCGGGUUCAUUGGGCGUACAGCGCUCGUAGGCGGUCUGUUAGGGCGGCAAGUUAAAUCCGGGGGCUCAACCCCCGUCCGCUUCCGAUACCGGCAGACUUGAGUUUGGUAGGGGAAGGGGGAAUUCCUGGUGUAGCGGUGGAAUGCGCAGAUAUUAGGAAGAACACCGGUGGCGAAGGCGGCCUUCUGGGCCAUAACUGACGCUGAGGAGCGAAAGCUAGGGGAGCGAACAGG